AUACGUAGGUGGCAAGCGUUGUCCGGAAUUAUUGGGCGUAAAGCGCGCGCAGGUGGUUCCUUAAGUCUGAUGUGAAAGCCCCCGGCUCAACCGGGGAGGGUCAUUGGAAACUGGGGAACUUGAGUGCAGAAGAGGAUAGUGGAAUUCCAAGUGUAGCGGUGAAAUGCGUAGAGAUUUGGAGGAACACCAGUGGCGAAGGCGACCGUCUGGUCUGUAACUGACACUGAGGCGCGAAAGCGUGGGGAGCAAACAGGAUUAGAUACCCUGGUAGUCCACGCCGUAAACGAUGAGUGCUAAGUGUUGGUGGGUUUCCGCCCCUCAGUGCUGCAGCUAACGCAUUAAGCACUCCGCCUGGGGAGUACGGUCGCAAGACUGAAACUCAAAUGAAUUGACGGGG
Molecule: ribosomal RNA, 397 nt
Filed under: uncultured bacterium
Lineage: Bacteria
Description: partial 16S ribosomal RNA
Rfam family: Bacterial small subunit ribosomal RNA
Source: RNAcentral